This 460-nucleotide ribosomal RNA is filed under the name uncultured bacterium. Its description in RNAcentral is "partial 16S ribosomal RNA". It matches the Rfam family "Bacterial small subunit ribosomal RNA", at positions 338 to 795 of the family's 1533-position model. The record is from RNAcentral.
CCUACGGGGGGCUGCAGUGAGGAAUAUUGGUCAAUGGGCGCAAGCCUGAACUAGCCAAGUCGCGUGAGGGAUGACGGUCCUAUGGAUUGUAAACCUCUUUUGUCGGGGAGCAAGGCCCGCCACGUGUGGCGGGAAGGAGAGUACCCGAAGAAAAAGCAUCGGCUAACUCCGUGCCAGCAGCCGCGGUAAUACGGAGGAUGCGAGCGUUAUCCGGAUUUAUUGGGUUUAAAGGGUGCGUAGGCGGAAGGUUAAGUCAGCGGUAAAAUGUCGGGGCUCAACACCGGCCUGCCGUUGAAACUGGUCUUCUUGAGUGAGCGAGAAGUAUGCGGAAUGCGUGGUGUAGCGGUGAAAUGCAUAGAUAUCACGCAGAACUCCGAUUGCGAAGGCAGCAUACCGGCGCUCAACUGACGCUGAGGCACGAAAGCGUGGGGAUCGAACAGGAUUAGAUACCCUGGUAGUC